GCGUCGUAGUCCGGAUUGGAGUCUGCAACUCGACUCCAUGAAGUCGGAAUCGCUAGUAAUCGUGGAUCAGAAUGCCACGGUGAAUACGUUCCCGGGCCUUGUACACACCGCCCGUCACACCAUGGGAGUGGGCUGCAAAAGAAGUAGGUAGUUUAACCUUCGGGGGGACGCUUACCACUUUGUGGUUCAUGACUGGGGUGAAGUCGUAACAAGGUAGCGCUAGGGGAACCUGGCGCUG
Molecule: ribosomal RNA, 238 nt
Filed under: Vibrio parahaemolyticus
Lineage: Bacteria; Pseudomonadati; Pseudomonadota; Gammaproteobacteria; Vibrionales; Vibrionaceae
Description: partial 16S ribosomal RNA
Rfam family: Bacterial small subunit ribosomal RNA
Source: RNAcentral